GGAAUGUACCCUUCUCUAAGGAAUAGCCUCUGGAAACGGAGAGUAAUACCUUAUACGCCCUUCGGGGGAAAGAUUUAUCGGAGAGGGAUCAGCCCGCGUUAGAUUAGAUAGUUGGUGGGGUAACGGCCUACCAAGUCUACGAUCUAUAGCUGGUUUUAGAGGAUGAUCAGCAACACUGGGACUGAGACACGGCCCAGACUCCUACGGGAGGCAGCAGUGGGGAAUCUUGGACAAUGGGCGCAAGCCUGAUCCAGCCAUGCCGCGUGAGUGAUGAAGGCCUUAGGGUCGUAAAGCUCUUUCGCCAGGGAUGAUAAUGACAGUACCUGGUAAAGAAACCCCGGCUAACUCCGUGCCAGCAGCCGCGGUAAUACGGAGGGGGUUAGCGUUGUUCGGAAUUACUGGGCGUAAAGCGCGCGUAGGCGGGUUGUUAAGUUAGAGGUGAAAUCCCGGGGCUCAACCCCGGAACUGCCUUUAAUACUGGCAACCUAGAGUUCGAGAGAGGUGAGUGGAAUUCCGAGUGUAGAGGUGAAAUUCGUAGAUAUUCGGAGGA
This 550-nucleotide ribosomal RNA is filed under the name uncultured bacterium. RNAcentral's name for it is "bacterial SSU rRNA". It matches the Rfam family "Bacterial small subunit ribosomal RNA", at positions 121 to 705 of the family's 1533-position model. The record is from RNAcentral.